RNAcentral lists this ribosomal RNA (301 nucleotides) under uncultured bacterium. RNAcentral describes it as "partial 16S ribosomal RNA". It matches the Rfam family "Bacterial small subunit ribosomal RNA", at positions 509 to 807 of the family's 1533-position model. The record is from RNAcentral.
CAGUCGCCGCGGGAAUACGUAGGGUGCAAGCGUUAAUCGGAAUUAUUGGGCGUAAAGCGAGUGCAGACGGUUACUUAAGCCAGAUGUGAAAUCCCCAAGCUUAACUUGGGACGUGCAUUUGAAACUGGGUGACUAGAGUGUGUCAGAGGGAGGUAGAAUUCCACAUGUAGCGGUGGAAUGCGUAGAGAUGUGGAGGAAUACCGAUGGCGAAGGCAGCCUCCUGGGAUAACACUGACGUUGAGGCUCGAAAGCGUGGGGGGCAAACAGGAUUAGAUACCCCCGUAGUCCCUGUCUCUUAUAC